CGUUAAAAUACCGGUUCCCGUAUGAUGACCGAAGUUAAGCAAGGUCGAGCCUGGUCAGUACCUAUAUGGUUGAGCGCUUGGAAAUACCAGGUGAU
Molecule: non-coding RNA, 95 nt
Organism: Acanthosepion pharaonis
Lineage: Eukaryota; Metazoa; Mollusca; Cephalopoda; Sepiida; Sepiidae
Source: the annotation of a GenBank genome assembly